Molecule: ribosomal RNA, 464 nt
Filed under: uncultured bacterium
Lineage: Bacteria
Description: bacterial SSU rRNA
Rfam family: Bacterial small subunit ribosomal RNA
Source: RNAcentral
GACGAACGCNGGCGGCGUGCUUAACACAUGCAAGUCGAACGGUGAAGCGCCUUCCUUUUUGGUGGGUGUGGAUGAGUGGCGAACGGGUGAGUAACACGUGAGUAACCUGCCCCCUUCUUCUGGAUAACCGCAUGAAAGUGUGGCUAAUACGGGAUAUUCUGGGUCUGUCGCAUGGUGGGUCCGGGAAAGGUUUUUUCUGGUGGGGGAUGGGCUCGCGGCCUAUCAGCUUGUUGGUGGGGUGAUGGCCUACCAAGGCGGUGACGGGUAGCCGGCCUGAGAGGGUGGACGGUCACACCGGGACUGAGACACGGCCCAGACUCCUACGGGAGGCAGCAGUGGGGAAUAUUGCACAAUGGGCGCAAGCCUGAUGCAGCGACGCCGCGUGAGGGAUGGAGGCCUUCGGGUUGUGAACCUCUUUCGCCAGUGAAGCAGGCCUGCCUCGUUUGUGGGUGGGUGACGGNAGC